Molecule: ribosomal RNA, 253 nt
Filed under: uncultured bacterium
Lineage: Bacteria
Description: partial 16S ribosomal RNA
Rfam family: Bacterial small subunit ribosomal RNA
Source: RNAcentral
UACGUAGGGACCAAGCGUUGUUCGGAUUUACUGGGCGUAAAGGGCGCGUAGGCGGCGCGGUAAGUCACUUGUGAAAUCUCUGAGCUUAACUCAGAACGGCCAAGUGAUACUGCAGUGCUAGAGUGUGGAAGGGGCAAUCGGAAUUCUUGGUGUAGCGGUGAAACGCGUAGAUAUCAAGAGGAACACCUGAGGUGAAGACGGGUUGCUGGGCCAACACUGACGCUGAUGCGCGAAAGCCAGGGGAGCAAACGGG